Molecule: ribosomal RNA, 351 nt
Filed under: Triticum aestivum (bread wheat)
Lineage: Eukaryota; Viridiplantae; Streptophyta; Magnoliopsida; Poales; Poaceae
Description: partial small subunit ribosomal RNA
Source: RNAcentral
AUGGAAAAAAUCAAGAUUCCUACUUUUGUCCCAGGAGAUUUCAAAUUUAUGAACAAAGCCAGAGCACUUCAUGAAUACCUAUUCAGCAAAGAAGGACAGGACGAAUGCAGAGAUCUAAACGUAUAUAUUAGCUCGAAGCGACCCGAUUGGAUUACAGGAAAACAAAUAAUGGAACAGCUACAGAAAGGAGAUCAUGGACAGAUGGAGGGCUCCAUCGCAAACACAUUGUUCGAAGAAUGGACAGUGCAGCAACAAUACAACACAACCGAUAAAGCCAUACUUCCCGCAGAAUUUGCAAACAUCGUGCUCGGUGUUAACUGGAGAAGAAGAAGGACUAGCAGAAUUCAAUGA